Molecule: ribosomal RNA, 449 nt
Filed under: uncultured bacterium
Lineage: Bacteria
Description: partial 16S ribosomal RNA
Rfam family: Bacterial small subunit ribosomal RNA
Source: RNAcentral
AACGAACGCUGGCGGCAGGCCUAACACAUGCAAGUCGAACGAACCCUUCGGGGUUAGAGGCGCACGGGUGCGUAACGCGUGGGAAUCUGCCCUUGGCUUCGGAAUAACAGUUAGAAAUGACUGCUAAUACCGGAUGAUGUCUUCGGACCAAAGAUUUAUCGGCCAGGGAUGAGCCCGCGUAGGAUUAGGUAGUUGGUGGGGUAAAGGCCUACCAAGCCGACGAUCCUUAGCUGGUCUGAGAGGAUGAUCAGCCACACUGGGACUGAGACACGGCCCAGACUCCUACGGGAGGCAGCAGUGGGGAAUAUUGGACAAUGGGCGCAAGCCUGAUCCAGCAAUGCCGCGUGAGUGAUGAAGGCCUUAGGGUCGUAAAGCUCUUUUACCCGGGAUGAUAAUGACAGUACCGGGAGAAUAAGCUCCGGCUAACUCCGUGCCAGCCGCCGCGGUAA